AUCUACAGCCUUACCACCCUGAACACACCCGAUCUCAUCUGAUCUCAGAAGCUAAGCAUGGUUGGGUCUGGUUAGUACUUGGAUUGAAGAAAAAAAGUACUCAUUUCCCUCCUGAAAACCAAUACAGAGUUU
RNAcentral lists this ribosomal RNA (132 nucleotides) under Castor canadensis (American beaver). The record is from RNAcentral. Lineage: Eukaryota; Metazoa; Chordata; Mammalia; Rodentia; Castoridae.